This is a long non-coding RNA of Gallus gallus (chicken), 1617 nucleotides long. NCBI's taxonomy places the organism in Eukaryota, Metazoa, Chordata, Aves, Galliformes, Phasianidae. The record is from Ensembl.
AAAUGUCUCGCUCACACUAAUCAGUGGGCUAACAGCUACCAGGAAGGAUGAGCCUUGCUGCUGCUAGUUAAAACCUGCAAGGGCAAGAUGCAGAACUGUGUGUUAUCUCUUUAGCAGACUGAAGCUCUCAAUUCAUUACAGCCUGCAGAAAGGAAGCAUGCAGAUUAGAAGAGCACCUAUUUGGUGUGCUUGUAGGAUACAGAGAUCUCAAUUUUAAAACCAUCCCUAUUCAAGCACACUAAUGUCUUCUCUGGAAUACAUCCCCACACCAAAACAGCUGGUACUGUGUGUGCUUCAUACUGACUGAUAGGGAAGAAGAUAUUCCCCAUACCAUCUUCUCCUGCCUGCUAAAGCAUCAAACAACCAAGGAUUGGAGAAAUCUUCUGUGGCUCCUCUUAUAUACCCUGAGGAAGUUUUGCCAGAGGUGAACUAGAUCUUGCUCAAGUGUUUGCAUAGGAAGUUGGCCACCUGGAGGUAACGAUGAGGGAGGAACUUCUCUUGUCUCUUUUGCUGUCCUUAUAUCAAGAGACUCUUGUAAGCCUCUUUUAAUAUAAAGCCUCUAUUUUCUGUUGGGUUCCUCUGUGGAAGAUAAUGAUCUUGGUAAAAUGUUUACCUAGACUUCCUUACACAAAGAGCUAUCAUGACAAUGUACUUUCUUAAGUAUGUAAUUUUAGUCAGUAAAAAAGAAACGUGUGGUUCCAGACAGGGAAAAUACUAUUGCUGCAUUUUUUUUCUUUUACUGUCUUAGCGGUUGUGAAGGAAGAAAUACGUGAUUCAGUUGAUCUGCACAUACUGUUGCAGUUUGGUCAGGCAAAAUAUCCUGAGACAUCUUCUGUGUUGAUACUUAUCUUUGGAGACUGGUAUUAUGAGCUAAACUAAGAGAGCAUGUAAUUAACAUUUAUAUGCACAGUAAUUUAAAUUAUAGUAGAAUGUAUAGGAUCUUUAGAAGGCCAUAAGACAGCUAGUUUUAAUUCAGAUAUCCUAAGAUAAUGUAGGUAGUGUCCAGAUAAACAUGCCAGUACUGCUUGCUUUGUUCAUCUAAAUAUAUUGUUAUUUUGCCAAUUUUCUAGAGCAAUGGAGUAGUAAAGUAGAGGUCAAAAUAGAUUCUACAAAGCAAUAUGCAAUUCAAUUCUUUAACCCUAACCCAAGUGUGGGAAUUAUUAAGAGUUCUGGGAUACUUUAUUGAGCCUACAGCCACAAGUCAGUAUUUUCUUAGAGAGAGAGAGAGAAUGAUGAAAGAAUAAUAAAAUCAUUAUGUGAUAAUUUACACCAGAAGUGCAAAAGCCCUGUUGUAUCCAUGCACCUAAAUAUAGGUUGAACAAAAAAAAAGGGGGGGGGGGGGCAGUUAAAGCAAUUUCCAUCCUCAGGUUAUGUUACAAACCUUGUAUUUAGUGAAAGGAGAAUGAGUAGCUUCCUAAAAGCACAGAUACUCAAGGUGAUCAUAUUCUGUAUGCUGUAGUAAGAGGGGAAAAAAAAGCUAUAAAGACAGUAUUUAUCUUUGCUGAUGGUAACCUAAUUAACCAUAAACUGUACUAAAAUGCAGCAGUGUCCAAGGAUGACUUGCUCCUUCUGUACUGACAGGCAUAGAAAUGUUGGCAAUAAAUUUAAGCUGUAAGG